AUAAAGUAUUUUCAUUCAAAACAAGGCAUAAAACAUUCCAAGUGUCAUGUCAGAAUACAAAUCAUAUGAAUCCCAAGAUCACAAAACAUCUAUCAGUGUGUACAGAUCAUGUCGGCGCCUUCCCACGGUCCUCGUUAGUACCUGAAACACAUACAUAACAACUGUAAGCAUAAAUGCUUAGUGAGUUCCCCAAAAUACAACUUACGCACAUACGCCUUUCCAGGCCCUGACCUUCCGGUCCAUGUGUCUCAGGGGACUUCCGUCUCUGCUGGGUAAACCUUCCGGUCCUACCCACGCCAACCUUACGGUCCAGAUUACACGCCUUCCGGCCCAUAACAUAAUGCCUUCCGGCCCACAUAAACAUACAUAGCACGCAUAACAUUUAUCUUAUCACAUAUCGCACAUAUAUCACAUAUCAUAUUCGACCUUCCAGUCCACAGUCAAACCCUUCCGGGUACGGUAUAGUGAGAAGACUCACCACGUGAAUAUCGAAAGCUAGCAAAUCCCGAAGUCACUCGUGCUCGAUCCGCCGAGCUACAUUCUCCCUAUAACACCAUACAUCUCUUAUUAACACUUUUAUCUUCUAAGUUUGACUAUCCCUAAGAAGUCAAACAUAGGUCAACUCUGGUCAACGGUCAACUUGACCGGACUCGGCGACCGCUAGGACGACUCGGCGAGUCUAGACGUCCUCACCAAUUCUCUAAGAUUCCCUUUCUACACGUCGAGUAUCCCCCUUGACUCGACGAGUUCCUCCUGGAAGAAUCGCGGGGCCACCCCGACUCAACUCGCCGAGUCUGAAGAACAACUCGGCGAGUCCCAGUUAAUCUUCAAGCUACUCGCCGAGUCUGUUCAUCGGACUCGGCGAGUCCAUGCCAUGCAACCGCUCAAACUGCUUUCUAAGGUCAGAUCUGCUCCGACAAUUCAUAGGUCUGGCCUUCCUAGACUGGUUCAUCACGUAAAGUCCUCAUUUCGGUGCUCAUAAUACACCCCAUGACUCAUAAUUUACGUUUUGACCUAAGGCAUAAGGAUUCCAAUCCAAAACCUCCAUUGAUUCCCGAAAAGCUCAGGCAUGGGACAUUCUGGACUUCCAAGGGUCCCAAUAUAGGGUUCCAAUCGCUUGGGGGACUAAGGAAACACUCAAUCUAGCCACAAAAGGGUUCAAUAAACCCUAAAUCCAUAUACACAUCAACAUAGAAGGGAACAACUCGAAAAUAUUACCUGAAUAACGUUGCUCUGUGUCCCCAACCCUCAGAAUAUGGCUUCUCCUGUUGUUCCCUUAACCAAGCCUCCUCCUCCUUGCAAAAUAACACUUCCAAGAUCAAUAAUGGUCUUCUACCUUGCUCCAGAUGCUCACAAUCGAAUUAGGGUUUCACUCAAAGGACUAGGGUGAACAAUGACGGCCAUAAGGCCCCUUAUAUAUGUCCCAAACCUGGGAAGUUAGGGUUUCGCUAAACAGCGCGGACUCGCCGAGUCCAUAUCCGGACUCGCCGAGUCCAGUCGCGAACCCGCGACCAGAUCCGCGAUCCUACUCGGCGAGUCUGAGCUCCAACUCGCCGAGUCCCCUCUUAAAACACCCAAAAUCAUAAAUAUAACAAUACCUGGAAUUCCGGGCUGUUACAAAUCUCCCCCACUUGGACUAGACUUCGCCCUCGAAGUCUCACUCUGAAAAUAGCUCCGGAUGCUGCUCCCGCAUCUCACGCUCCGGCUCCCAGGUCAUUUCCGAUCCCUUCCGGUGCUGCCACUGAACUAACACCAGAGGUAUCUCCUUAUUCCUCAGAACCUUGAUCUUCCGAUCUCUGAUGGCCACUGGUCUCUCGGCAUAAUUCAGGCUCGCAUCCACCUGAAUGUCCUCUAAUGGAACCACUGCCGACUCAUCGGCUAUACACUUUCUCAAUUGCGACACAUGAAAAGUGUCGUGGAUCUGUCUCAAUUCCGUUGGCAACUCCAAACGGUAGGCCACCCGUCCUACCCUCGCAAUCACACGAAAAGGCCCAAUAUACCGGGGCCCCAACUUGCCCCUCUUCCUGAAUCGAAUCACUCCUUUCCAAGGAGAGACCUUCAGGAGUACGAAGUCGCCGACCUGAAACUCAAGCUCGGACCGGCGUCUGUCUGCAUAACUUUUCUGUCGGCUCUGGGCGGUCAAUAACCUCUGUCUAACCUGCUGAAUCUGCUCUGUCGUCUGAAGCACGAUCUCUGUACUGCCCAUCACUCUCUGUCCCACCUCUCCCCAGCAAAUGGGGGUCCGACACCUCCUACCAUACAACAGCUCAAAGGGUGGCAUACCAAUGCUCGAAUGAUGGCUGUUGUUGUAGGAAAACUCUGCCAAGGGUAAAUACGCAUCCCAGCUACCCCCGAAAUCUAACACACACGCUCGAAGCAUGUCCUCCAGCGUCUGAAUCGUUCGCUCGCUCUGACCGUCUGUCUGGGGAUGGUAUGCGGUACUAAAAUGCAAUUUAGUACCCAGCUCCUCAUGGAAUUUCUUCCAGAAUCUGGAAGUGAAGCGCACAUCACGGUCUGAAACAAUCGAGAUCGGCACCCCAUGCCGAGAUACCACUUCUCUCACAUAUAUCUCCGCCAACUUCUCCGCUGAAGAACUCUCACUGAUGGCAAGGAAGUGAGCGCUCUUCGUCAACCUGUCCACAAUCACCCAAAUUGCAUCAACUCCUCUGGCAGUCCUCGGCAAUUUGGUGAUGAAAUCCAUAGUGAUCUGUUCCCACUUCCAUUCGGGAACCUCCAAUGGCUGCAACUUGCCAUGCGGUCUCUGGUGCUCGGCCUUAACCCUGCGGCAGGUCAAGCACCUCUCAACGAACCAUGCGACGUCCCUCUUCAUACAGGGCCACCAAUACUCUUUCCUCAAAUCCAAAUACAUCUUCGUAGCCCCCGGAUGGAUCGAAAAUUUCGAUCGAUGAGCCUCUUCCAUCAAAGUAAUACGCGUACCACCCACGAACGGUACCCAAAUCCGACCCUGAAACGUCAUAAGCCCUCGUCCAUCCGUAACGAACUCUGAAACCAAACCAACGACCCGCUCUCUCUUCUGCAUCUCUGGUCGCACAGCCUCGGCUUGUGCCCCACGAAUAGCAUCCAAUACUGUAGCUAUCACAGUCAAUCUCAAACAUACAUCUCGCUGUGGAGUGCUCUCCGCCCUGCGGCUCAAUGCAUCGGCUACCACAUUAGCCUUGCCUGGGUGGUACAGGAUCUCACAAUCAUAAUCCUUGACCACAUCCAACCACCUCCUCUGACGCAUAUUUAGGUUGGGCUGAUCCAUCAAAUACUUCAAGCUCUUAUGGUCCGUGUAUAUCGUACAUCGAACCCCAUACAGGUAGUGACGCCAAAUCUUGAGAGCGAACACUACUGCCCCCAACUCUAAAUCAUGCGUGGGAUAUCUCGCCUCAUGAGGCUUCAGCUGCCUCGACGCAUAAGCUAUCACAUGACCCCUCUGCAUCAACACUGCACCCAGUCCCGAAAUCGAUGCGUCGCAAUAUACCACAAAAUCUUCCAUCCCUUCUGGGAGAGCUAAUACCGGGGCUUCGCACAACCUCUGGCGAAGUGUCUCAAAGGAGGUCUGCUGCUCGGGCCCCCAUGAGAAUGCAACACCCUUCCGGGUCAAUCUGGUGAGCGGCACUGCGAUCUUGGAGAAAUCCUUAAUGAAUCUCCGAUAAUACCCUGCCAACCCAAGGAAGCUCCUGAUCUCAGAGGGUGACUUCGGCACCUCCCAACUCAUCACCGCCUCAACCUUGGCCGGAUCGACCAAUAUCCCUUUCUGAUUAACAACAUGUCCUAGAAAUUGGACCUCCCGCAACCAGAAGUCACAUUUGGAGAACUUUGCAUAAAGCUUCUCCGACCUCAAUACCUCAAGGACCUCCCUCAAAUGCUCCUCAUGCUGCUCUCUAGAUCUAGAAUACACCAGAAUGUCGUCGAUAAAUACAAUCACUGACCGAUCCAACAUCGGCCUGCAUACCCUGUUCAUGAGAUCCAUGAACACAGCCGGGGCAUUGGUGAGCCCGAAAGGCAUCACCACAAACUCAUAAUGCCCAUAUCGCGUCCUAAACGCUGUCUUCUGGACGUCCUCAUCCCGCACUCUCACCUGAUGGUACCCUGACCUCAGAUCGAUCUUGGAAAACCAAGAUGCUCCCUGCAACUGAUCGAAUAAAUCAUCGAUCCUCGGUAACGGGUAACGGUUCUUGACCGUCAACUUGUUCAACUCCCGGUAAUCAAUGCACAUCCGGUGUGAACCAUCCUUCUUCUUGACGAACAGAAUAGGUGCUCCCCACGGCGAGCUGCUCGGCCGAAUGAAUCCCUUCCCCAGCAACUCCUGAAGCUGCGAGGACAACUCUUGCAUCUCUGGAGGUGCAAGACGAUAAGGCACCUUAGCAAUAGGCGCGGCCCCCGGAACCAGAUCGAUACCAAACUCUACUUGCCUCACAGGAGGUACUCCCGGCAGCUCCUCGGGGAAAACAUCUGGAAACUCACGCACCACUGGGACCUCCUCAACUGAUCUCGGUCUCUCGGAAACCUCCCGCGUAUCCAUCACAUACGCCACAAAACCCUUACAGCCCUGCUGUAGACACUGCCUCGCCCUAGCGGCCGAACAAAAAGCUGAUCCCGAACGGGUACCCUCGCCGUACACCGAAAGAACUCCCCCACUAGGGUCUCGUAUAGUCACCAGCUGACGCUCACAGUCGAUGACGGCGCCGAAUCGGCUCAACCAGUCCAUGCCCACAAUGACACAGACAUCACCCAUCGCAAUAGGAAUCAGAUCAAUCGGAAAAUCAACCUCGAAAAUCUCUAACACACAUCCCUGGAGAAUCUCCGUGGCACAAAUCACUCUCUCGUCAGCUAUAGAAACUCUCAGAGGCCGACUCAACGACUCAGGACUAACGUUGAUAUGCUGACUAAAAGCCAAAGAUACAAAGCACCGACUCACACCCGAGUCAAAUAACACUAAAGCAGGCACAGAGUUCACAAGGAAAGUACCUACGCAUAUCAUAACAUAAGCAUAACAUCUCGACAUCAAAAUAAAUACAUGAAAUAAAGCAUACCUGCAACAACAUCGGGCGCAGCGCGGACCUCCUCCGCAGUCAGCUGAAAGGCUCUCCCACGAGCCCUCGGGGCCUCGGCCUUCACCGGUCGAGUCUCAGUAGCCCUGGCAGUAGGUGCAGAUCCCUGAAGAAGCUGAGGGCACUCGGCCUUCCGAUGGCCUGUCUGGUUGCAAUGAAAGCAAACCAUAAACCCCUUGGGGCAAUCCCUAGCGAUGUGCCCCUCCUUGCCACACUUGUAGCAAGCACCAGAUCGACAUGUCCCCUCAUGACCCUUGCCGCACUUUCCGCAAGUGCGGCCCUUCGGACCUCCCGUCCUCGAAUCGGCGGACUUAGUCCGCUUGGCUGCCGGCUGAGACUGAGCCGGCCGCCGGUCCACCCGCUGAGACUCGGCCUCCUCCCUGGCCUGGGUCUCCAACUCGAUCUCGCGCUUCCUGGCAUUCGCCUGAAGCUCAGCAAAGGUAUGAUAGGUGGAGUUUGACACAAACUCCCGGAUAUCCCUCCUCAAAACACCCAAGUACCGGCUCAUCCGAGCCUGCUCUGUGGACACCAGCUCGGGGCAGAACAUCGCCCUCUCAUGAAACUUCCGCGUGAUCACCGCAACCGAAUCAGUACCCUGCUUGAGGGUCAAGAACUCCUGAACCAAUCGUUCCCUCUCCACCGGGGGAACGUACUCGUCUCUGAACAUAGAGGUAAACCUCUCCCAUGUCACUGCUGAAAUCUCUGCCAAAGUGAAGUUCGCCGUCACGAACUUCCACCAAUCCUUCGCUCCCAGACGGAGCUGGUUCAAAGCGAACCGUACCCUCAGAUGCUCCGGACAUGAACAAGUGUAGAAGCACCCCUCAAUAUCAGCGAUCCACCUCAUCGCAGCAAUCGGAUCCUGCGUCCCAUCAAACUCAGGUGGCUUCGUGUUGCUGAACUCCCGAAACAGCAACGAGUCACCCCCCUGUGGCCUGGCAGCGGCCACAGCUGCGGUAGCUGCAGUGGCUGCAGCCUCAGUCAAUGCGGCGUACCGCUCAUCAAAAGUCUCCAUCAAGGUGGUCUUAAUAGACCCAAACAUCUCCGGAAUCUCAGCCCGGAUCGCUGCAGCCACCUCCUCAUGAAUCAUCUGACGAAUCUCCUCGUCACUCACACCGCUCGUACUCGGUCUGUGGCGUGGUCUAACCAUGAUGUCUCUGAAAUACAACAUAAAACUAUCAGAGACUCCAUCGAGUAUAAUCGCACUCGAUAACGCAACCCUACUCAGUCUCCGAUAUCCAGGGAUUCUUACUUGGGUCUCCCACUGACCCGGUGUCUUCGGUAGUACGGGCCCAAUACUACCGACCACACCGCAUCAGCAUUCAUCCCAAAUCUUCCUCCCCAAACCCCGGAUAGUGAGUACUCUACUUUUGAUAUGCACUAUCUAUCUGCACGCUAUCAAAGCAUCUCAUAUCGGCAAACUUCCCUAGACUAAGGCAUCACAAAUCAGGCCACUCUAGUCCUAUCAUGAAUACCUAGUCUUCUAGCAUGCAUAACAGUUCACAUCAUAUCUUAUCUCUUAACAUAACAUUGUAAGGUAUUUUGGGGAUCUUUACCGUUCGGGCGCUGACUGAUCGUACACACUGCUUCUUUCUUGUUUACCACAAAAUUAUUUACAAAAGUUUAUGCCUUUAUUUUAAAAGUUUUCCUCAAAUCCUCGGUUUGAGUUCAGUUACGCCCGAAGGUGCACCCGAAUCCCUCAAACCAAGGCUCUGAUACCAAUUUGUAACAACGUAAAUUUUCAAACAAAUUUUUCAUUUCAAAAUAAAGUAUUUUCAUUCAAAACAAGGCAUAAACAUUCCAAGUGUCAUGUCAGAAUACAAAUCAUAUGAAUCCCAAGAUCACAAAACAUCUAUCAGUGUGUACAGAUCACGCCGGCGCCUUCCCACGGUCCUCGCUAGUACCUGAAACACAUACACAACAACUGUAAGCAUAAAUGCUUAGUGAGUUCCCCAAAAUACAACUUACGCACAUACGCCUUUCCAGGCCCUGACCUUCCGGUCCAUGUGUCUCAGGGGACUUCCGUCCCUGCUGGGUAAACCUUCCGGUCCUACCCACGCCAACCUUACGGUCCAGAUUACACGCCUUCCGGCCCAUAACAUAAUGCCUUCCGGCCCACAUAAACAUACAUAGCACGCAUAACAAUUAUCUUAUCACAUAUAGCACAUAUAUCACAUAUCAUAUCCGACCUUCCGGUCACACAGUCAAACCCUUCCGGGUACGGUAUAGUGAGAAGACUCACCUCGUGAAUAUCGAAAGCUAGCAAAUCCCGAAGUCACUCGUGCUCGAUCCGCCGAGCUACAAUCUCCCUAUAACAUCAUACAUCUCUUAUUAACACUUUUAUCUUCUAAGUUUGACUAUCCCUAAGAAGUCAAACAUAGGUCAACUCUGGUCAACGGUCAACGGUCAACUUGACCGGACUCGGCGAGCGCUAGGGCGACUCGGCGAGUCUAGACGUCCUCACCAAUUCUCUAAGAUUCCCUUUCUACACGUCGAGUAUCUCCCCUGACUCGACGAGUUCCUCCUGGAAGAAUCGCGGGGCCACCCCGACUCAACUCGCCGAGUCUGAAGAACAACUCGGCGAGUCCCAGUUCGACUCAGACCACCUGUUAACCCUCUCUAACUCGCCCUGACUCACCGAUCCAACCCAUAACCCGGACAGGACCAUUCUAAGGCAAUCUUCAAGCUACUCGCCGAGUCUGUUCAUCGGACUCGGCGAGUCCAUGCCAUGCAACCGCUCAAACUGCUUUCUAAGGUCAGAUCUGCUCC
RNAcentral lists this long non-coding RNA (7823 nucleotides) under Lactuca sativa (garden lettuce). RNAcentral describes it as "long non-coding RNA (LSAT_LNC005172)". Lineage: Eukaryota; Viridiplantae; Streptophyta; Magnoliopsida; Asterales; Asteraceae. The record is from RNAcentral.